UAAGAGCUCGCCUAGGCGACGAUGUGUAGCCGGUCUGAGAGGAUGAACGGCCACAAUGGAACUGAGACACGGUCCAUACUCCUACGGGAGGCAGCAGUGGGGAAUAUUGCACAAUGGGGGAAACCCUGAUGCAGCAACGCCGCGUGAGUGAAGAAGGUUUUCGGAUUGUAAAGCUCUGUUAGCAGGGAAGAGGAAGGACGGUACCUGCAGAGGAAGCCACGGCUAACUACGUGCCAGCAGCCGCGGUAAUACGUAGGUGGCAAGCGUUGUUCGGAAUAACUGGGCGUAAAGGAUGCGUAGGCGGUUGAGUAAGUUAUGUGUUAAAUAUAUAGGCUUAACCUGUAGAAAGCACAUAAAACUGUUUAACUAGAGUGCAGGAGAGGUAAGUGGAAUUCCUAGUGUAGCGGUGAAAUGCGUAGAGAUUAGGAAGAACACCAGUGGCGAAGGCGACUUACUGGACUGUAACUGACGCUGAGGCAUGAGAGCAUGGGGAGCAAACAGGAUUAGAUACCCUGGUAGUCCAUGCUGUAAACGAUGGGUACUAGGUGUGGGUUGUGAAUAACA
RNAcentral lists this ribosomal RNA (564 nucleotides) under uncultured bacterium. RNAcentral's name for it is "bacterial SSU rRNA". It matches the Rfam family "Bacterial small subunit ribosomal RNA", at positions 258 to 838 of the family's 1533-position model. The record is from RNAcentral.